RNAcentral lists this ribosomal RNA (253 nucleotides) under uncultured bacterium. Its description in RNAcentral is "partial 16S ribosomal RNA". It matches the Rfam family "Bacterial small subunit ribosomal RNA", at positions 524 to 776 of the family's 1533-position model. The record is from RNAcentral.
UACGGAGGGUGCAAGCGUUAUCCGGAUUCACUGGGUUUAAAGGGUGCGUAGGUGGGCUGGUAAGUCAGUGGUGAAAUCUCCGGGCUUAACUCGGAAACUGCCAUUGAUACUAUCAGUCUUGAAUACCGUGGAGGUCAGUAGAAUAUGUCAUGUAGCGGUGAAAUGCUUAGAUAUGACAUAGAACACCAAUUGCGAAGGCAGCUCACUACACAAUCAUUGACGCUGAGGCACGAAAGCGUGGGGAUCAAACAGG